RNAcentral lists this long non-coding RNA (238 nucleotides) under Capsella grandiflora. RNAcentral's name for it is "long non-coding RNA (CGRA_LNC001273)". The record is from RNAcentral. Lineage: Eukaryota; Viridiplantae; Streptophyta; Magnoliopsida; Brassicales; Brassicaceae.
GCGUUACACGUCACUCGCUUUUUAUCUCUGACAAUAACUCUGCAACUGUGCUCUCUCUAUCUCUCUCGUGUCGAUCCAAAUUGUCUCGAAUUAUCGUCGGUGUGGUGUGUCUUCUUGCUAAGUUUCGACCUGAUAACAUACGGACCACACGAAAGCUUUCCUUUACUCCUUUCCUGAACUAUCAUCUAGUGCUUUAAAAAUAGACACGGUUGGGUUUGACAUCAAAAGACUGUUCCAG